RNAcentral lists this unclassified non-coding RNA (1231 nucleotides) under Metazoa environmental sample. RNAcentral describes it as "sequence contains 18S rRNA gene, ITS1, 5.8S rRNA gene, ITS2, 28S rRNA gene". The stretch from base 378 to 1231 matches the Rfam family "Eukaryotic large subunit ribosomal RNA", at positions 1 to 961 of the family's 3401-position model. The record is from RNAcentral. Lineage: Eukaryota; Metazoa.
GGAUGGAUCAUUAGGGUGUUUAAACCUAUGUUUCUUUCUUACGUUCGAUUCUACUUUAUCACUGUAGACGUUCUGAGUAAACGCAGCAACAUGAAAAAGCUCCUUGUAACGGUGGAGGGCUCGGCUCAAAAUGCGAUGAAGGACGCAGCGAGGUGCGAUAAGCAGUUUGAUACGCGCGAUUUGUGAGCGACUAGCUUUCUGAAUGCCAAGGCGCCCCGACCUACGUGGCCGGGCGUGCUUGAGUCAGGGCUUUAUUGAAUCUUGCAUUGGAGGGAUAGAACUCUUAUGCUUGUUGUGCUUGUUCAAUAAGAUCGAGCAUUUUGCCUCAGUACUGAAAGUUGGAUAUUCUUACUCAAAGUACGAUCAUCUUUUUGAUUAAGCCUGACUUCAAGCUCGGAGACUCGUCGAGCUUAAGCAUAUCCGUAGGCGAGCGAACGACAACCAAAUGGGAAAUUGCUAGUAGUGGCGAACGAACGCAAUCUGGUUCGGAGGGUGAAUCCUGUGCAAACAGGAAUUGUUCCCUUGGCCUGUGACUGGAGUCUCUCGAGGGUUAAGUGCGCCUGGAAAGGCGUCUCUGGUAAGGGUGAUAGGCCCGUACACCUUCGAGUAGAUUCAUACAGCCGCAGACUCAACAGUCGUGUUCUUUGGGAGUAGAGCACAAAGUAGAUGGUGGACUUCACCUAAGGCAGCAUACGCUUUGAGUCCGAUAGUAGACAAGUAGUGUAAACGAACGCCGACAAAUGGCUCGGGAGGGUCACUUAUUGAACUGAAACCGUUGCAAGGGAAGCGCCUCUGCGGCAAUUUCUCUGGCAUACGUUAGUUACAACUGCGGUUGUUGCUAACAGCUUGGAGAAAACCAAGCCUGGCUGAAGCUAGUGGUGAAGUUUGUCUUCGGCGACGUCACAUGAUAGCUUUCAGUCAGUAGCUGGUACCGAGAUAGAGGUGUCCCGUCUUGAAACACGGACCAAGGAGUUAAACCAGGGCGCGAGCAAUGUUGUGGCAAGCAACAAAGCGUACCUAACGGGUGUUGGGCUUCACUGGCCCGGCCGGUCUUUAUGACUGGGCUCGAGCGUUCUGUUUUAGACCCGAAAGGUGGUGACCUAUGUCCGGAUAAGGUAAAGUCAGGGGAAACCCUGAUGGAGGCCUUAAGCUGUACUGACGUGCAAAUCGUUUGCGCUAUUCGGAUAUAGGGGCGAAAGACCAAUCGAACCGCCUAGUAGCUGGUUCCUUC